ACAAACUUGGUCAUUUAGAGGAAGUAAAAGUCGUAACAAGGUCUCCGUUGGUGAACCAGCGGAGGGAUCAUUAACGAGUUUAUCAUAACUCCUAAACCCAUGUGAACUUACCUUCUGUUGCCUCGGCAGGCAGAUCCGCACCUCUUACCCUGUAGUACCUUACCCGGGACGAAACCUGCUAUUACGUAGUAAUAGAAUUCCAACUGGGAUAGGCCUACGCGGUAAUCAAGUGCGCUUCCGCCUGCCGGUGGACCAUGAAAUAAACUCUGUUUAAUAGCUGGUAUUCUGAUAAUUAUAUGGAAAUAAGUUAAAACUUUCAACAACGGAUCUCUUGGUUCUGGCAUCGAUGAAGAACGCAGC
RNAcentral lists this unclassified non-coding RNA (360 nucleotides) under uncultured fungus. RNAcentral describes it as "partial contains small subunit ribosomal RNA, internal transcribed spacer 1, and 5.8S ribosomal RNA". The stretch from base 1 to 73 matches the Rfam family "Eukaryotic small subunit ribosomal RNA", at positions 1759 to 1831 of the family's 1831-position model. The record is from RNAcentral. Lineage: Eukaryota; Fungi.